UAACUGAAGAAUUCAAGACACCAUUGACUCCAAUAAAGCUAGAUAUUAAAAAACUUGGUGAUGUCAUUAAAGUAUUAACAUCAGAUCAACACUUGCCCUGUUCUGUAUGGCGUAGACUAGGUCUACAGUUAGGAUUAUAUGAUCCUAGACUAGUAGAUAUAGACACUGACUGUAGAGGAAAGACAGUGGAGUGCUUCCAUGAGUGUAUGUCUACCUGGUUAAGAGGAGAAGAUGGAGUGAGAGAGAAAGGAGGUCCCAGUUGGUCAUCAUUAGCUACAGCACUGGAUACAAUAGACCAAAAAUCUAUUUCUAGUUACAUUAGAGAUAAAUAUUGUUAAUAAUUAGUGGAUUAUAUUGUCUAUAGUAUUUCAUUUUGUUCUGUUUGUUUUUAUUUUUGCUGAUACUUGCUGAUUCAUUUGUUAAUUAGUUGAGUUGUAAAAGCUGAGCUGUCAUCAUGUACUAAUUUCCCUAUCUCUUUAGAAUUAUCACUGAUAGUAUCAAAC
This is a long non-coding RNA of Amphimedon queenslandica, 503 nucleotides long. RefSeq lists it as uncharacterized. Lineage: Eukaryota; Metazoa; Porifera; Demospongiae; Haplosclerida; Niphatidae. The transcript is spliced from 2 exons. The record is from RefSeq and is a predicted model, not a curated record.